UCCCAAUCCUCAGACCGGAUGUCUUGGUAGGUUGUGAACUUUUCAGGCAUCGGGGUGUCAUCUGCCUCUGAGUCCAAGUCCCACAUCUCAGCUUGCAGCUCCGUGAAAACGGGCAUUUCAGCUGUAUCCUGCGAUCGGUGGUAGUCCAUAUCCCACACUAGGUCCAUCAUCUUCAGGAACGAUGUAUUUAUAUCAAGAAUGCAGCACUUGCCAAAAUCAGAUAAUCCUCUCUGGUCAGCGCGUGUGUUGUUCUGUUUAAAAAAUAACCGUUGCCAUGGCAAUGACGCAAACUUCAUUACGUCUUAAAUUCUAAAACUCAGUCAAAUCAAGGGGUGUUUUUUUCAUCGUGAAAAAAAGUCUAAUCAGUCUGAGUGAAGAACAUUAGACCACUCAUUUUUUCUUGUAAAUAUCAGACACCCGACAGACAAGUAAAUCUGACUUGUGACUCUGGCAUAUUUACUCGAAUUAAUAAAGUACUUGAAGCAAGUUGCAAAAAAUCAUGUAAAAUUUACGCCGUCUUGAAGCGAGGAAUCUGCGCAUGCGUGAAAAGUAAUGCCGCGAUGAUUCAAGGCUUCUCGAUCUCCAUCAGUUCUCGAAGGGUAAGUACUAUUUAAAACCGCAUUAUAUUACGGAUCAUUAGAUUUAAUUCAUUAAAGAAAUUUGUCAUCACUUAAUUCUGUACCUUUGAAAAGUUUAGCGUGUUCUUGAGUUAGCUUUGUAAAACGAGCGCCAUAUAAGCUAACGUUAAUGUUGUAGUCAAAGUUGCAAAUUGUUGAACAAGUUUUUAAGUUUUAGUUUUUUAAGUUUAAGUUUUUGUUGAAUAUUUGUCUCACAUUCCCUCAUUUUAUAUAAAUCGUGCACAAUAUAAAUCAUUCCCCCAGUCUCUAAUUACUUUACUAAAUUGUGCGUUGUUUGUUAAUAGGUCCCUUCUUUACUCAGUCUUGUCCACUUUGUAAAUGACCACAACUCAAGAAACCAAGAAAAGCUGAACUGAACUAUCUGCCACCACAUCGUAACGGGGAAUCCAUUGAGACUUUAGAAAAAGAGCGACAAGCUUUGCUGGUUGAAGUCAGAAAGAAAGACAAAGAGUGUUUGGAGAAAAAAUGUCUAAAACCUUUUCUUACAGGAGUCACGAAGUUGUUAAUCUCAGCCCCCCAAUGAAAGAUUUCCAGGAGAGAUGGCCUGCCUUAUUCUCAGAGGCUCAGGUAAGUUAAGCCAGUUACAUUAUUGUAGAUGUCACGUUUUGAUUGUUUGCUGUUCAUAUAUGGAUACUUUUGUGUGUGGAUUAUUUAACUUAUUACAAAUAAAGGAGGAAUUCUGAAGAAUUACGGCUGUGCUCCCGGAGCAAACCUUCAUGUCGAAACUAGAUGGCUACACGCCGAAACUCUUGGAGCUUUUGAAAGCUAAGGGAGGUGCUGCGGGAGUCAAGAUACAGUCAACACUGUAGUUCAUACUGUGCGUUGACUCCAGUAUGAAACCGGGCCAUACCACUGAGAAUCAACGAGAUGGCGUGAUCCGCAGUCUCACUGAAUAUCUUGGAGAGGGGGGCAGAGAAUCUUUUCAAAAAUGGAUGGCAGUCAAGAAGACUUCACAGAAGAUGUCAUGAUGAUUCUUGUUGAUGGAAACAGAGACGGAGAGCCAGAGGUUUACAUUGUUCUUGAAGGAAGCAAGGUUCUAAGUAAAUGUGCAAAUACUGCUAAAGCUUGUGCUCUCCUGAUGUCUGUGGUCAUGUUUUGAUACUGAGAUUAAGAAGCUGUCAUAUAAAUGCUUGUUAAUUCUUGCAUUGUUAUUUCUUCCUAAUAAAACACUCUUAACUACACAUCUUUGGGGUGGGGUCAGGGGCUUAGUUAACAGGUUUUAUUUGUAAGUCUGUUAGUCAUGUUUUGAUGCCGAGAUUACGAAGCUGUCAUGUCUAUGCAUAGAACUGCUAAUGUUGGAUUUGUAAUGUGUUUAAUAUGUCAUUGAACAUGAAUGCUUAAGCUGUUUAAAAAAAAUAUUCAGGGCUGCAAUAAAAAAGCACCAAAUGUCUGGAAUAUAUAUAUAUAUAUAUAUUAGUGCUGGGCAACGAUUAAAAUAUUUAAUCGUGUGAUUAAUCGCGAUUAAUCGUAUUGUUAUUCGCAAAAUUGAACAGGUAGCAGAUCUAUCUGUCUGUCUGUCUGUCUGUCUAUCUAUCUAUCUAUCUAUCUAUCUAUCUAUCUAUCUAUCUAUCUAUCUAUCUAUCUAUCUAUCUAGCCUUUCUCCCUGUUUGUUUAUCCACCAGUUCUUUUCUUUUCCGGUUCCUGUGACCGCCGCAGCAGUCUUACGGUCAUCCCAGUCCAAUACGGAUAAAGAUGCCACCCCUCCCGACACCCAUGGUUUGUUUGUAUGUGUAUUCAGAGUAGGGCUGCACGAUUACGACAAAAAUCAUAAUUGUUGAUUAUUCUCUUGAAAUUGUAAUUGCGAUUAUUAAUUACGAUUUUCACAAUUUACAUUAAAUGGUGUUUUGAAUAGCUUUAUAUCAUUGUUUGAAGCAACUGCAUGCUAUAUUUUAUAACAUAAAUAUUUUUUAUCUUGGUGACUUUUCUAUCCUAUUUCUUUGAUGGUGGAAUCAUCAGAGUAUCUCAAAGACUUGAUGGUCAAUCACCACACUAGUAUUUAUAGUGCUGAGAAUUCCUUUAUCAAUAGACAGAACAGCCGAAUGAUGGAGUCUGCUCUGGUCCAUUGUUCACCUAAACUAUGUCUGUAUUUUAACUUAAAUACUGCAUUAGUUGAAUAAUAGAAAGUCAUGAUGUUCAGACUGUAAUGUCUUAGUGCUUUAAUUUUUUGUACGUUUUGGGUAUGGAAUAAUAUUCAAAAGGGCCCUAUAUGUCAGGGGUUUUCAGAAUCAGAGACAGUGGACCUCCUUUUUUACACAACAUACACAUUUUACAUUU
Long non-coding RNA from Hemibagrus wyckioides, 2912 nucleotides. RefSeq lists it as uncharacterized. The record is from RefSeq and is a predicted model, not a curated record. The transcript is spliced from 3 exons. Lineage: Eukaryota; Metazoa; Chordata; Actinopteri; Siluriformes; Bagridae.